UACGGAGGGAGCUAGCGUUGUUCGGAAUUACUGGGCGUAAAGCGCACGUAGGCGGCUUUGUAAGUUAGAGGUGAAAGCCUGGAGCUCAACUCCAGAAUUGCCUUUAAGACUGCAUCGCUUGAAUCCAGGAGAGGUGAGUGGAAUUCCGAGUGUAGAGGUGAAAUUCGUAGAUAUUCGGAAGAACACCAGUGGCGAAGGCGGCAUCCUGGCCCUGUCCUGACGCUCAGGGGCGAAAGCGUGGGGAGCAAACCGG
This 253-nucleotide ribosomal RNA is filed under the name uncultured bacterium. RNAcentral describes it as "partial 16S ribosomal RNA". It matches the Rfam family "Bacterial small subunit ribosomal RNA", at positions 524 to 776 of the family's 1533-position model. The record is from RNAcentral.